Molecule: ribosomal RNA, 347 nt
Filed under: uncultured type I methanotroph
Lineage: Bacteria; Pseudomonadati; Pseudomonadota; Gammaproteobacteria; Methylococcales; Methylococcaceae
Description: bacterial SSU rRNA
Rfam family: Bacterial small subunit ribosomal RNA
Source: RNAcentral
CCUGUCAUCGGGGCACCUGAUCAGCAUGCCGCGUGUGUGAAGAAGGCCUUCGGGUUGUAAAGCACUUUUAUCGGGAACGAAACGUUGGCGGUGAAUAUCCUGCAAGACUGACGGUACCCGAGGAAUAAGCACCGGCUAACUUCGUGCCAGCAGCCGCGGUAAUACGAAGGGUGCAAGCGUUACUCGGAAUUACUGGGCGUAAAGGGUGCGUAGGUGGUUUUUUAAGUCUGCUGUGAAAUCCCCGGGCUCAACCUGGGAAUGGCAGUGGAUACUGGAAAGCUGGAGUGCGGUAGAGGGUAGUGGAAUUCCCGGUGUAGCAGUGAAAUGCGUAGAGAUCGGAAGGACCC